GCUGAUCGUGGCUGGGUCAUUUACUCAGUGUCACGCGUUAGGGCCUCAGUCAAGCCAGGAUUUGAACCUAGGCCCUGGACUCCAAGCCUUCCCUUCUGACCUCUUCAUACCUGUGUCCAUGGGUGUCCAGGUAGCAGAGGAGCCACAGCCUGUAACCUCGUGAGUCUGGCAUGCAAGAUGGCAGGACAGCCCAGCCACAUGCCUCAUGGAGGGAGCCCAAACCACCUCUGCCACGUGCUGGGGCCUGCACACCCUCCGGACCCACAGAGGCACCCAAACACCCUGUCUUUUCGCUGCUCACUGGCAGACUUCCAAAUCGAGAAGAAGAUUGGCCGAGGACAGUUCAGUGAGGUCUACAAAGCCACCUGCCUGCUGGACAGGAAGACAGUGGCUCUGAAGAAGGUGCAGAUUUUUGAGAUGAUGGAUGCCAAAGCCAGACAGGACUGUGUCAAAGAAAUUGGUCUCCUAAAGCAACUGAACCAUCCAAACAUCA
Molecule: long non-coding RNA, 493 nt
Filed under: Rattus norvegicus (Norway rat)
Lineage: Eukaryota; Metazoa; Chordata; Mammalia; Rodentia; Muridae
Description: long non-coding RNA NONRATT018101
Source: RNAcentral